Heterocephalus glaber (naked mole-rat) is the source of this 828-nucleotide long non-coding RNA. The record is from Ensembl. Lineage: Eukaryota; Metazoa; Chordata; Mammalia; Rodentia; Bathyergidae.
CAGUGCUCUCUGGGAGAAGGCUUUUGAGUUUGGAUUCAGUUUAAGGCACUGACUUCUCGGCCUGAGGUACUUCUUAACUCUCCUCUGUGUCAGACAUGACACACUAGAGUCACUGCUGCAGCAAUAGCAGAGUGCUUGACAGCCUUCGGUCCUAAAGGGUGAAGGAAGCAUGCUCUAGCAGAGGGAGAAGUUGUACUGCAAUGCCAUCACAACACAGGCUUCAGACACUCCUACAGCCAGCUCUGGGUCUCUGAAGGUCCUCAGAGUUGUCUUGAUCUCAGGCCCAGGGGCUAGGGCCACCCCAGCCAAGAGGGACCAGUUAAUGGAGAAAACUUAAUCUUGGUACUUCAGCAUGCUCCAAGCUCAUCAUGUAUUUCCUGCUUUGGCCCUACAAUCAGCACUUUCCUCCUGGGACCCCUGGUUCCUUGGAUUGGAGAAGAGUACCAGAAACCAAGUUCUGGGCAUGAGGCAUGCUUGGGUAGGAUAACAGCACAUACCAGAGCUGAGUCAGGAGCAUUCUCUGAAAGCUGCUGCCAAGCCCCUGCAUCCCUGGACUGAGCGAGCAGGUUGGCACUGCCAUCUGGAACCUCUCUUCUACCUAGACAGCAAGCACAGAAGUGGAACUUUUGGGGAUUCAGUGGAGCUCAACCUCAUAAGCACAGCUCCUAUAAGAUCAGGGAGUCAUGGACGGGUUGCCAUGGACCAUGCCUUUCUACCCAAGACUGUGUAUCCAAGAGUGCCACUUCAAACCAAGGUGUCCCAGGACCUAGUGGCUCUGAGUCUCCUCAGGCUCAAGGCAUGCAAUGCUGAUUUAUCUUCCAUUAAGAG